GUAGGUGGCAAGCGUUGUCCGGAAUUAUUGGGCGUAAAGCGCGCGCAGGUGGUUCUUUAAGUCUGAUGUGAAAUCCCCCGGCUCAACCGGGGAGGGUCAUUGGAAACUGGGGAACUUGAGUGCAGGAGAGGAAAGUGGAAUUCCACGUGUAGCGGUGAAAUGCGUAGAUAUGUGGAGGAACACCAGUGGCGAAGGCGACUUUCUGGCCUGUAACUGACACUGAGGCGCGAAAGCGUGGGGAGCAAACAGGGAUUAGAUACCCUGGUAGUCCACGCCGUAAACGAUGAGUGCUAAGUGUUGGGGGGGUUUCCCGCCCCUCAGUGCUGCAGCUAACGCAUUAAGCACUCCGCCUGGGGAUACGGUCGCAAGACUG
RNAcentral lists this ribosomal RNA (373 nucleotides) under uncultured organism. RNAcentral's name for it is "partial 16S ribosomal RNA". It matches the Rfam family "Bacterial small subunit ribosomal RNA", at positions 527 to 896 of the family's 1533-position model. The record is from RNAcentral.